Molecule: ribosomal RNA, 449 nt
Filed under: uncultured bacterium
Lineage: Bacteria
Description: bacterial SSU rRNA
Rfam family: Bacterial small subunit ribosomal RNA
Source: RNAcentral
UGGGGAAUUUUGGACAAUGGGGGAAACCCUGAUCCAGCAAUGCCGCGUGUGUGAAGAAGGCCUUCGGGUUGUAAAGCACUUUUGUCCGGAAAGAAAACUUCUGCCCUAAUACGGCGGGAGGAUGACGGUACCGGAAGAAUAAGCACCGGCUAACUACGUGCCAGCAGCCGCGGUAAUACGUAGGGUGCGAGCGUUAAUCGGAAUUACUGGGCGUAAAGCGUGCGCAGGCGGUUCGUUAAGACAGAUGUGAAAUCCCCGGGCUUAACCUGGGAACUGCAUUUGUGACUGGCGAGCUAGAGUAUGGCAGAGGGGGGUAGAAUUCCACGUGUAGCAGUGAAAUGCGUAGAGAUGUGGAGGAAUACCGAUGGCGAAGGCAGCCCCCUGGGCCAAUACUGACGCUCAUGCACGAAAGCGUGGGGAGCAAACAGGAUUAGAUACCCCCGUAGUCC